Molecule: long non-coding RNA, 629 nt
Filed under: Mus caroli (Ryukyu mouse)
Lineage: Eukaryota; Metazoa; Chordata; Mammalia; Rodentia; Muridae
Description: lncRNA (MGP_CAROLIEiJ_G0005775.1)
Source: RNAcentral
CUGUGCUCUUAAUGGUUCCCAUUCAUUACUCCUGUCCUUUCUCUCCCAUCAAACUCAUCACUUUAUGUCCUUCCUCUCUCCCCGCCCCCCAGGGCCUGACAGUGUAGGAUGGAUUCAGAAGUAUUCCUUUCUGUGUUCCCUACCCUUGGAGUCUGGCUACAGAACGACAUCGGGAUAUGCUUUUGUUAAAUCUGUGGGCAUUAAAAUGGCAUUCCUGUCGCUCACCUGGAUUUCAUCUCACGUCCUCUCUCUGGCCGUAGCCUCAGACCUCCAUGGCAGCUUUGACUAUGAAGGCUUGGCCGUGUCACGUGACCUUUCUGCAUUCUGCUGCUGAGUAUAAAGAAAACAUUUGGAACACUUUUCUCAUUUCUAUUUCACGAAAUGGGUAGGAUCAAAUGAGACGACGUGAGUUUGGCAGGGCUACAUGCUUAGACACCUCCCGUGCCCGGCUCAGUUGGCUGGCAACAGCUUAAAGGACCGCACUUCUCAGCAUAGGAAGCAGCAAUCAUCCGCACCUGUUGCCAAUUAAAGCAUUAAUGGCCCAUCAAUCAAGGAGAAAUCACUGGGAAUGGAGAUGACACAGGCUCUGUGCUCCUGUCAGUUUUUUGGAAGUCAUCCUCUGCUUCAAG